GCUUUAAUUUUAGCUUUAUAUCCAGAUAUUGACAAGUACGAGGAAGAGGAACUUGCUUUUGGUGAGGAGGAGAAGACUCGCAACAAAAAGAUUCAAGAAUCCAUUGCUGAAACAUACCGAAGACAGUCAGAAGCACUUGUGAAAACGCUCCACUGCAAAAGCAAUAGCUACAUCA
Lolium rigidum is the source of this 175-nucleotide long non-coding RNA. RefSeq lists it as uncharacterized. The record is from RefSeq and is a predicted model, not a curated record. Lineage: Eukaryota; Viridiplantae; Streptophyta; Magnoliopsida; Poales; Poaceae. The transcript has 3 exons.